UUUGCUUCUAGGAGCAGAAAUCUAUCUUGCCAUACCCUUUGGUUUUUAAAGAUUUCUCUUCUAUUUGCAUUUCUGCACUUUGGUGGUUCUCCCAUGAAGAUAAUUAUGGUGUCAUAAAAUUCACAUUCCACUGGUUCCUUUGAAUCUUACCAACCACUCUUGUUAACAGAGACAAUGAACCUGAACUGUUUUAGGACUCUUGUUAUUACUGAGACAGGUCACAAACAUCAAAAUAGGAGUCCGUGGCUUGUAGUGAUGCUUUUUAGUCUUGUGAUAGCACAAUCCAUCACUUUCCCCAAAAUUCUUGUCAUAGAACAUAAUGAAAAAUAUGUAAAAUACCCAUUUAUGUGGCAUUUCAUUCACUUAAGUUGCAGUUAACUCUAAG
This 385-nucleotide long non-coding RNA is filed under the name Homo sapiens (human). Its description in RNAcentral is "LHRI_LNC1772.1". The record is from RNAcentral. Lineage: Eukaryota; Metazoa; Chordata; Mammalia; Primates; Hominidae.